Molecule: long non-coding RNA, 453 nt
Filed under: Vombatus ursinus (common wombat)
Lineage: Eukaryota; Metazoa; Chordata; Mammalia; Diprotodontia; Vombatidae
Description: lncRNA (ENSVURG00010020196.1)
Source: RNAcentral
CUUCAGGUGCUGCCACCGCCUUUUCAACGAUGGCACCUAUGAACCUGGUGCUGUGAAGUUAGCUUCACUUGAAAGUGUGUUUGAGAAAUGGAAGAAAACCCUGCAUAGAAGGGGCAAGGAGCUGAGCACUUGGGGUCUGCUUCCUGGGCUUCUGCCCAGGUAAAACAGGGAAAUGGAGCCCGGGAGUGAAGAGAGUGGGAUGGAGGUGAUCAGCAAACGCAUCCUGGAGGAGGAAGUAAGACCCUGGCUGCAGCUUGAAAGCAGCCACUUAUCAAUUCAACAGGCGUUUAUUAUGCAUGAGGCGCUGAGCUUGGAGUGGGGAUCUGGCUUAUGAAUUGAUUGAUGGAUGGAGGAUGAUUAGUCCUUCAAUCCAGUCGGGAUGAAAACCUUCAGGAUAACUGAAGAAGACAGUGGAGCUGAUGCUUAGCCCCUCCAGAGAAGGGUCACUGGGAG